UGCUGGGUCUACCUUGCUUCUGGGCACACC
RNAcentral lists this non-coding RNA (30 nucleotides) under Homo sapiens (human). The record is from RNAcentral. Lineage: Eukaryota; Metazoa; Chordata; Mammalia; Primates; Hominidae.